GAACAGGAUCAGUCACAGGGUGAAAGAACAGGACAGGACCAGUACAGGGCGAGAGAACGGGACCAGCCAUAGGGCAAGAGAACAGGACCAGCCAUAGGGUGAGAGAACAGGGUCAGUCACAGGGUGAGAGAACAGAACAGGACCAGUCACAGAGCGAGAGAACUGGACCAGCCAUAGGGCGAGAGAACAGGACCAGUGUAACGGACCACCUGGCACCCCGAC
Pelobates cultripes (western spadefoot toad) is the source of this 222-nucleotide non-coding RNA. The record is from the annotation of a GenBank genome assembly. Lineage: Eukaryota; Metazoa; Chordata; Amphibia; Anura; Pelobatidae.